This 492-nucleotide ribosomal RNA is filed under the name uncultured bacterium. RNAcentral describes it as "partial 16S ribosomal RNA". It matches the Rfam family "Bacterial small subunit ribosomal RNA", at positions 29 to 507 of the family's 1533-position model. The record is from RNAcentral.
AGUGAACGCUGGCGGUAGGCCUAACACAUGCAAGUCGAACGGCAGCACAGUAAGAGCUUGCUCUUACGGGUGGCGAGUGGCGGACGGGUGAGGAAUACAUCGGAAUCUACUUUUUCGUGGGGGAUAACGUAGGGAAACUUACGCUAAUACCGCAUACGACCUACGGGUGAAAGCAGGGGAUCUUCGGACCUUGCGCGAUUGAAUGAGCCGAUGUCGGAUUAGCUAGUUGGCGGGGUAAAGGCCCACCAAGGCGACGAUCCGUAGCUGGUCUGAGAGGAUGAUCAGCCACACUGGAACUGAGCCACGGUCCAGACUCCUACGGGAGGCAGCAGUGGGGAAUAUUGGACAAUGGGCGCAAGCCUGCUCCAGCCAUACCGCGUGGGUGAAGAAGGCCUUCGGGUUGUAAAGCCCUUUUGUUGGGAAAGAAAAGCAGCAGGUUAAUACCCCGCUGUUCUGACGGUACCCAAAGAAUAAGCACCGGCUAACUUCGUG